UACGAAGGGGGCAAGCGUUGUUCGGAAUUACUGGGCGUAAAGGGCUCGUAGGCGGCCAACUAAGUCAGACGUGAAAUCCCCAGGCUCAACCUGGGAACUGCGUCUGAUACUGGAUGGCUUGAAUCCGGGAGAGGGAUGCAGAAUUCCAGGUGUAGCGGUGAAAUGCGUAGAUAUCUGGAGGAAUACCGGUGGCGAAGGCGGCAUCCUGGACCGGCAUUGACGCUGAGGAGCGAAAGCCAGGGGAGCAAACGGG
This 253-nucleotide ribosomal RNA is filed under the name uncultured bacterium. RNAcentral describes it as "partial 16S ribosomal RNA". It matches the Rfam family "Bacterial small subunit ribosomal RNA", at positions 524 to 776 of the family's 1533-position model. The record is from RNAcentral.